GAGGCUUCACCUUCCACACUAAUUUUCUUUUGACAUUUUUAGAUAUCAUCUUUGGUUUUUGUUUGUUCUUUUUUUCUUCCAAAUAUUCACGAAGACAAGAUUUUCCAGAAGCUGUACUUUACGGCCUGUACAUUAUAACUCCUGAACCGGUGCUAGUCACUAGUAAAUAUAGUUGUUUAUAAGAUUUUACCUAUGUGAUUGUUUGAUGAUUGAUCACAUUACUUGGGUUAAAAACUAAAUGGAACUUUGAUAAUGAUAUGUAG
This 263-nucleotide long non-coding RNA is filed under the name Brassica rapa (field mustard). RNAcentral describes it as "long non-coding RNA (BRAP_LNC000050)". Lineage: Eukaryota; Viridiplantae; Streptophyta; Magnoliopsida; Brassicales; Brassicaceae. The record is from RNAcentral.